CCCUUAGAUGUUCUGGGCUGCACGCGCGCUACACUGCUGCAAUUAACGGGUUUUCUGUGCCGAAAGGCUUGGGGAAUCCUUUGAAUAUGCGGCGUGAUGGGGAUAGAAUAUUGUAAUUAUUACUCUUCAACGAGGAAUUCCUAGUAAGCGCGGGUCAGCAGCCCGCGCUGAUUACGUCCCUGCCCUUUGUACACACCGCCCGUCGCUACUACCGAUUGAAUGAUUUAGUGAGGACUUCGGACUGGGACCGAUGCGGCUUUCGGGCUGCGUCGGUAUUCUGGAAAGAUGUCCAAACUGUAUCAUUUAGAGGAAGUAAAAGUCGUAACA
Molecule: ribosomal RNA, 327 nt
Filed under: uncultured eukaryote
Lineage: Eukaryota
Description: partial 18S ribosomal RNA
Rfam family: Eukaryotic small subunit ribosomal RNA
Source: RNAcentral